Molecule: ribosomal RNA, 402 nt
Filed under: uncultured Coriobacteriaceae bacterium
Lineage: Bacteria; Bacillati; Actinomycetota; Coriobacteriia; Coriobacteriales; Coriobacteriaceae
Description: bacterial SSU rRNA
Rfam family: Bacterial small subunit ribosomal RNA
Source: RNAcentral
UGGGGAAUAUUGCGCAAUGGGCGAAAGCCUGACGCAGCAACGCCGCGUGCGGGAUGAAGGCCUUCGGGUUGUAAACCGCUUUCAGCAGGGACGAAACUGACGGUACCUGCAGAAGAAGCCCCGGCUAACUACGUGCCAGCAGCCGCGGUAAUACGUAGGGGGCUAGCGUUAUCCGGAUUCAUUGGGCGUAAAGCGCGCGUAGGCGGGCUGUUAAGUCAGGUGUGAAAACCGGGGGCUCAACCCGCGGCCUGCACCUGAAACUGGCAGCCUCGGGUCUGGUAGAGGAAAGUGGAAUUCCCAGUGUAGCGGUGAAAUGCGCAGAUAUUGGGAGGAACACCAGUGGCGAAGGCGGCUUUCUGGGCCACGACUGACGCUGAGGCGCGAAAGCUAGGGGAGCAAACA